AAACCAUGAUGUGGGCACCUUUGAAGCAACUCCUUAUACCUCUCCCAUGCUUCGUACAAAGACUCAGAAUCUAAUUGCAUGGAAGAAGUAAUAUCGUUUCUCAUCUU
RNAcentral lists this small nucleolar RNA (107 nucleotides) under Theobroma cacao (cacao). RNAcentral describes it as "Plant small nucleolar RNA R71". It matches the Rfam family "Plant small nucleolar RNA R71". Rfam says of the family: R71 is a member of the C/D box family of snoRNAs containing the C (UGAUGA) and D (CUGA) box motifs. Multiple nearly identical copies of this snoRNA have been identified in Arabidopsis, and it is thought to function as a 2'-O-ribose methylation guide for 18S ribosomal RNA. The record is from Rfam by way of RNAcentral. Lineage: Eukaryota; Viridiplantae; Streptophyta; Magnoliopsida; Malvales; Malvaceae.